AUUCAAUGCUUUCUUCCCUUGGGGAGGAUGAAUCUUGGUCCAGCACGGCCGUCACAUCUGACAGCAGUGAGAGGGCAUUGUCUCCCUGCAUUCCCUCUGUAGACAUCACAAAAAUGACCCAUUCGUGAGGGCACAUGGAACAUGGAAGUUUUUGGGAAUGAGUCCAUAUUCAGAGUCAGAAAAAUUCCAGGAAAUCCAGACCCAUGAUUUUAUUAGAUUCCUGUUUAGAAGGAGAAUUAUCUCUGUACGUAGAAUCUGAGCCCAUGAGCGAUGCCCGAGACGGGAAGUACAGCUCUUCGGUUUCUGACUCAAACAAGAACAACUGGCUUUUCUCUCUUAUGAUGUAUCUAAUUCUAGAGGUAAAGCCUAAAUGCUGAAUUUUAUUUCUGUGAUUUUUCCUUCAGGCCCAGUCCCUCCAUGGGGUAGCGUCUUAUGUCAUGGAUCUCAUUUCACCUAACCAGCUGUCCAAAGUCGCCUGUCUCUUGUCCCUUUCAGAACCUCACUGACGGACCAAAGAAAUUGAUAGGACGUGAUAAUUCUUGUCUUAGAGGACAAGAUUUGAUUUUUAAACACAGGCCUCCUGAAAGCAUAAUGCUUUAGCUCAAGAAUUACGUCUCUUCUGCCAGUGGAGAUUUCUGGCAUUAGAUCACAUUGGGAGGGAGGAGGUUAAAUAUGCAAUUCUUGCAUUGGAAACUCCUAUGGCUAAGGAAAACCAUAAGGACCACAGGACAGCUGAGCAUACACAGAGCCCAAACAUGGAGGAACGGGAGACAUGAUUGACCCUGUGGGAGCCCUGCUCUGCUGUGGGCAUCACCUGGCACUGGACCAGGGCUCUCCAACAGGCUGGCAUGCCAUGGGGGACGUGAAAGCUGUAGCGGUUCAUCUGUGAUUCUGUGCCAAGCUGGAGUGAAGAAAACGUCCUUAACACAUUCCUGCGGAGUGAUCCAGAUUCUGGAAUAAUGGUCCAUUUGUCGGGCCCCGAAAAACUGUUGGACCGGCAUUGCUCUUCUGUGUCAAGGAAGGGUCUGUCUUAGCUUCCUUUCACCUGUUAA
Molecule: long non-coding RNA, 1052 nt
Organism: Lutra lutra (Eurasian river otter)
Lineage: Eukaryota; Metazoa; Chordata; Mammalia; Carnivora; Mustelidae
Exons: 3
Source: RefSeq, a predicted model, not a curated record